This is a long non-coding RNA of Zingiber officinale, 421 nucleotides long. RefSeq lists it as uncharacterized. The transcript has 3 exons. The record is from RefSeq and is a predicted model, not a curated record. NCBI's taxonomy places the organism in Eukaryota, Viridiplantae, Streptophyta, Magnoliopsida, Zingiberales, Zingiberaceae.
GCCGCCAUUGUCACCCACAGCCGACUGGAACAGUGUGUCCACCCCGCCGAGCCUAGUUCUUCCUCUGUGUGCCACUGCCAAGAGCGAGCAGUAUCGAGUCAUGCCCUAGACUUGGUUCACCGCCGCUCUAGCGAGUUGGUCUUCAACCAAAGGCAAAACUCCAAGCUCUAGUGGCUUCACCGUGACCUAUACCUCACCAUCGGAUCUUCCUGCUUCACCACUAGCUGUCGGCAGAGAGAAAACAAGAAGGUAUCGGAAUCAGUAUAGCUCCGGCCAAGAAUUUACGACAGUAGGUAUUUUCAGCUAGCAAUUUCCAGCAGCAACCUCCCUGCUGUGUGGAUUGAGCAAUUUAUCUUUGCUGGCUGUAAACAAUCCUAAUUGGGUAACAACUUUGUGACUUCCAGCAGCGGUUGAAUUGAGG